GACAGAAGAAGCNCCGGCUAACUACGUGCCAGCAGCCGCGGUAAUACGUAGGGUNCAAGCGUUAAUNGGAAUUACUGGGNGUAAAGGGUGCGCAGGNGGUUUUGUAAGUCAGAUGUGAAAUCCCCGGGCUUANCCUGGGAAUUGCGUUNGAAACUACAAGACUAGAGUGUGGCAGAGGGGGGUGGAAUUCCAUGUGUAGCAGUGAAAUGCGUAGAUAUAUGGAGGAACAUCGAUGGCGAAGGCAGCCCCCUGGGUUAACACUGACACUCAUGCACGANNNNGUGGGGAGCAAACAGGAUUAGAUACCCUGGUAGUCCACGCCCUAAACUAUGUCAACUAGUUGUUGGGUCUUAUUAGACUUAGUAACGAAGCUAACGCGUGAAGUUGACCGCCUGGGGAGUACGGUCGCAAGAUUAAAACUCAAAGGAAUUGACGGGGACCCGCACAAGCGGUGGAUUAUGUGGAUUAAUUCGAUGCAACGCGAAAAACCUUACCUACCCUUGACAUGUCAGAAAGGAUUCAGAGAUGAAUUUGUGCUUGAAAGAGAAUCUGAACACAGGUGCUGCAUGGCUGUCGUCAGCUCGUGUCGUGAGAUGUUGGGUUAAGUCCCGCAACGAGCGCAACCCUUGUCAUUAAUUGCCAGCAUUAAGUUGGGCACUUUAAUGAGACUGCCGGUGAUAAACCGGAGGAAGGUGGGGAUGACGUCAAGUCCUCAUGGCCCUUAUGG
Molecule: ribosomal RNA, 727 nt
Filed under: uncultured bacterium
Lineage: Bacteria
Description: bacterial SSU rRNA
Rfam family: Bacterial small subunit ribosomal RNA
Source: RNAcentral